ACGCACGCUGGCGGCGUGCCUAAUCCAUGCAAGUAGAACGCUGAAGGCGGAGCUUGCUUCUCUGGAUGAGUUGCGAACGGGUGAGUAACGCGUAGGUAACCUGCCUCGUAGCGGGGGAUAACUAUUGGAAACGAUAGCUAAUACCCCAUAAGAGUAUAUGUUGCCUGACAUUUGCUUAAAAGGUGCAAUUGCAUCACUACCAGAUGGACCUGCGUUGUAUUAGCUAGUUGGUGGGGUAACGGCUCACCAAGGCGACGAUACAUAGCCGACCUGAGUGGGUGAUCGGCCACACUGGGACUGAGACACGGCCCAGACUCCUACGGGAGGCAGCAGUAGGGAAUCUUCGGCAAUGGAUGGAAGUCUGACCGAGCAACGCCGCGUGAGUGAAGAAGGUUUUCGGAUCGUAAAGCUCUGUUGUAAGAGAAGAACGAGUGUGAGAGUGGAAAGUUCACACUGUGACGGUAUCUUACCAGAAAGGGACGGCUAACUACGUG
RNAcentral lists this ribosomal RNA (494 nucleotides) under uncultured bacterium. RNAcentral describes it as "partial 16S ribosomal RNA". It matches the Rfam family "Bacterial small subunit ribosomal RNA", at positions 29 to 507 of the family's 1533-position model. The record is from RNAcentral.